GCUGGGCAUGAUGGCUCAUGCCUGUAAUCCCAGCACUUUGGGAGGCCGAGGUGGGUGGAUCACCUGAGGUCGGGAGUUCGAGACCAGCCUGACCCACAUGGAGAAACCCCAUCUCUA
Unclassified non-coding RNA from Macaca mulatta (Rhesus monkey), 117 nucleotides. It matches the Rfam family "Metazoan signal recognition particle RNA". Rfam says of the family: The signal recognition particle (SRP) is a universally conserved ribonucleoprotein. The record is from Ensembl. Lineage: Eukaryota; Metazoa; Chordata; Mammalia; Primates; Cercopithecidae.